RNAcentral lists this ribosomal RNA (3021 nucleotides) under bacterium. Its description in RNAcentral is "23S ribosomal RNA". It matches the Rfam family "Bacterial large subunit ribosomal RNA". The record is from RNAcentral.
GGUCAAGUGACUAAGCGUAUACGGUGGAUGCCUUGGCAGUCAGAGGCGAUGAAGGACGUAGUAGCCUGCGAAAAGCUUCGGGGAGGUGGCAAACAACCUUUGAUCCGGAGAUGUCCGAAUGGGGAAACCCACCCAGUGUAAGCUGGGUAUCCUUAACUGAAUUCAUAGGUUAAGGAGGCGAACGCGGAGAACUGAAACAUCUAAGUACCCGUAGGAAUAGAAAUCAAUUGAGAUUCCCCCAGUAGCGGCGAGCGACCGGGGAACAGCCUGCAAGUGAUAGCAGUUGGGUUAGUGGAACACUCUGGAAAGGGUGGCGAUAGAGGGUGAUAGCCCCGUACACGAAAGCCUGGUUGUGGUACUGAGCUUGCGACAAGUAGGUCGGGACACGUGUUAUCCUGACUGAACAUGGGGGGACCAUCCUCCAAGGCUAAAUACUCCUGACUGACCGAUAGUGAACCAGUACCGUGAGGGAAAGGCGAAAAGAACCCCGGAGAGGGGAGUGAAAUAGAACCUGAAACCGUAUACGUACAAGCAGUGGGAGCACCCUCGUGGUGUGACUGCGUACCUUUUGUAUAAUGGGUCAGCGACUUAUUGUCUGUAGCGAGCUUAACCGUUUAGGGGAGGCGUAGGGAAACCGAGUCUUAAUAGGGCGACUUAGUUGCAGGCAAUAGACCCGAAACCGGGCGAUCUAGCCAUGGCCAGGUUGAAGGUGCCGUAACAGGCACUGGAGGACCGAACCCACUUAUGUUGAAAAAUGAGGGGAUGAGCUGUGGCUCGGAGUGAAAGGCUAAUCAAGCCCGGAGAUAGCUGGUUCUCCUCGAAAUCUAUUUAGGUAGAGCGUCGUGUCUUACCCUGGGGGGUAGAGCACUGUUUCGGCUAGGGGGUCAUCCCGACUUACCAACCCGAUGCAAACUCCGAAUACCCAGGAGUACAAUCACGGCAGACAGACAGCGGGUGCUAACGUCCGUUGUCGAGAGGGCAACAACCCAGACCGCCAGCUAAGGUCCCUAAUACCAGUUAAGUGGGAAACGAUGUGGGAAGGCUUAGACAGCUAGGAGGUUGGCUUAGAAGCAGCCACCCUUUAAAGAAAGCGUAAUAGCUCACUAGUCGAGUCGGCCUGCGCGGAAGAUAUAACGGGGCUAAAUUGGUAACCGAAGCUGCGGAUGCGUGUACUUCACUUAAGUUCAUUCAGCAAGCUUGUCGACGGCGUAAGCCGGCGACCAAGCGCUUCCGAACGUUGAGUCGUUUGGGGGGGAUGGCGAAAGCUGUCUGAGUGGGUUUAAGGAAGUGCACGCAUGGUAGAGGAGCGUUCUGUAAGCCUGUGAAGGUGUACCGGGAGGUAUGCUGGAGGUAUCAGAAGUGCGAAUGCUGACAUGAGUAACGAUAAGGGGGGUGAAAAACCUCCCCGCCGGAAGAUCAAGGUUUCCUGUCCAACGCUAAUCGGGACAGGGUGAGUCGGCCCCUAAGGCGAGGCAGAAAUGCGUAGUCGAUGGGAAGCGGGUUAAUAUUCCCGCACUUCUUAUUAUUGCGAUGGAGGGACGGAGAAGGCUAGGCCAGCGCGGUGUUGGUUGUCCGCGUUUAAGGUUGUAGGCUGGGGUUUUAGGUAAAUCCGGAACCCUAAGGCUGAGAACUUAUGACGAUCCCCUGGGGAGACCCUCGGGAGAAGUGGUUGAUGCCAUGCUUCCAAGAAAAGCUUCUAAGCAUAGAUAGUAAGGAACCGUACUGUAAACCGACACAGGUGAUCAGGUAGAGAAUACCAAGGCGCUUGAGAGAACUCGGGUGAAGGAACUAGGCAAAAUGGUACCGUAACUUCGGGAGAAGGUACGCCGACUUUGGUGAUGGGACUUGCUCCCUAAGCUGAGGUUGGUCGAAGUGACCAGGUGGCUGCGACUGUUUACUAAAAACAUAGCACUCUGCAAACACGAAAGUGGACGUAUAGGGUGUGACGCCUGCCCGGUGCCGGAAGGUUAAUUGAUGGGGUUAUCUUCGGAGAAGCUCUUGAUCGAAGCCCCGGUAAACGGCGGCCGUAACUAUAACGGUCCUAAGGUAGCGAAAUUCCUUGUCGGGUAAGUUCCGACCUGCACGAAUGGCGUAACGAUGGCCACACUGUCUCCACCCGAGACUCAGUGAAAUUGAAAUCGCUGUUAAGAUGCAGUGUACCCGCGGCUAGACGGAAAGACCCCGUGAACCUUUACUAUAGCUUCACACUGGACUUUGACCUUACUUGUGUAGGAUAGCUGGGAGACUUUGAAGCGUGCGCGCUAGCGUACGUGGAGUCGUCCUUGAAAUACCAGCCUGGUAAUGUUGAGGUUCUAACCUAGGUCCCUUAUCGGGAUCGGGGACAGUGUGUGGUGGGUAGUUUGACUGGGGCGGUCUCCUCCCAAAGAGUAACGGAGGAGCACGAAGGUGCGCUAAUCAUGGUCGGAAAUCAUGAGGUUAGUGUAAAGGCACAAGCGCGCUUGACUGCGAGUCUGACAAGACGAGCAGGUACGAAAGUAGGUCUUAGUGAUCCGGCGGUUCUGAAUGGAAGGGCCGUCGCUCAACGGAUAAAAGGUACUCCGGGGAUAACAGGCUGAUACCGCCCAAGAGUUCACAUCGACGGCGGUGUUUGGCACCUCGAUGUCGGCUCAUCACAUCCUGGGGCUGAAGCCGGUCCCAAGGGUAUGGCUGUUCGCCAUUUAAAGUGGUACGCGAGCUGGGUUUAGAACGUCGUGAGACAGUUCGGUCCCUAUCUGCCGUGGGCGUUGGAGAAUUGAGGGAAGCUGCUCCUAGUACGAGAGGACCGGAGUGGACGAACCUCUGGUGUUCGGGUUGUGUCGCCAGACGCAUUGCCCGGUAGCUACGUUCGGACAGGAUAACCGCUGAAAGCAUCUAAGCGGGAAGCCUCUCCCAAGAUUAAUUCUCCCUGACCCCUUGAGGGUCCUGAAGGGCCGUAGAAGACUACUACGUUGAUAGGCUGGGUGUGUAAGCGCUGUGAGGCGUUGAGCUAACCAGUACUAAUUGCCCGUGAGGCUUGACCAU